RNAcentral lists this transfer RNA (75 nucleotides) under Campylobacter sp. Its description in RNAcentral is "tRNA-Met". It matches the Rfam family "tRNA". From Rfam's summary of the family: Transfer RNA (tRNA) molecules are approximately 80 nucleotides in length. Their secondary structure includes four short double-helical elements and three loops (D, anti-codon, and T loops). The record is from RNAcentral. Lineage: Bacteria; Pseudomonadati; Campylobacterota; Epsilonproteobacteria; Campylobacterales; Campylobacteraceae.
CGCGAGAUAGAGCAGUGGUAGCUCGUCGGGCUCAUAACCCGAAGGUCGAAGGUUCAAGUCCUUCUCUCGCAACCA